AACAAGUUUAAUCCCCACUCCCGUGGCAAUUAUCCAGGGAGGAAAUAUUGUAACUACACAGUAUCACAAGUGGAAUGUCCUCAGCAGAUCUUAUAGCAAAGACCAUUUCUUCAUUCCCUAGCAGAAAUGAAUUAUGAAAGUGAGGUCCUGGGGCUUAGGUUCUUUCUCUGCUAGGUGAACUAUCACCAUGGAAGACUGAGGAGGAGACAGAAGAGUAAUUCAGUGUCAUGACCCUACCUUCCUUUGUUUUCUCUACAACUACUAAACUAUAAAGAUUCUAAGAAAAAAGAGGAUGAACCAAGAAUACGGAGUCCACAGAAAGUUUUUGAACAAAGGGGCAUCUGCUAGCCAGGGGCAUGGGAAGGGACAAGAAUUUGUGAAGAAGGUUGGAAUAGAGGGAAAAAGGCAAAAGAAUCACAUGAGCCUGAGAAAAAGAAACCACUGGAGCAGACAGAAAGUCUGGUGGUAUCCAACUAACAGAAAGAGCUUGCAAAGUGGACACUCAACACACCUGAACCAUCAGGACAAGGCAAUGCUUCUACAUGGGAAAUAUGUAGUAUGGCCCCUUCACAGUCUCAGAAAUCACCUAGAAUUUUCCAGUAAUUUUCUGAGUCAUAGGGAAGGCCUAGAUUGUGAAACAUUUAUUAUUUCAACUAACUUAACAGCAGAAAAAGAAUAAAGAAUAAGAUAUGAUGCUUAACACUGAAGAAAAAGUAAUGAAUCCAUGUUUAAAUUCAGUUACCUUAUGUAAUCGAAGGUAUACGUGAGCUGAAGAGAGUUUGUCCACAUGAAACCUACAAAGAAUGAAAAUCACUUUUAGCAAGAGAUAUGAGAUAACCAUCUCCUUGGUCACUUGCAUUUAAAGCAUUCCAUUCCCAAACUGUAUUCACUCAGGGCCUACCACAGACCAUGGGAGUUAUGCCACCGUGUGUGGUUAAGUGCCAAGACGAGUAAGAUAAUAAAUAUUAAAUGCCCUGAGAAAAGUGAUUCUUCAAGUGAUAAAAAGAGCUUUCUGUGAUCAAAGUGUUCAUGGAAGAAAUAAGAUUUGGCUGGCCCCUGACUGAAGCACACACAGGACUAAAAGGAAAAACAGAAAAAGAAAUUGCAGAUGAGAAGAGAAGGGAAUGACAGAAGUUGCUGAGACUCCAAUGUUGCCAGCCUGGGAGAUCUGCAGGACCACACACUGGAUUAGCCUGGAGCAUUCUGAGUUUCAAACAAUGACAAAACAGCCACAAGUGAAUGUCAAGUACAGAUUUGGGAAAAUUAGGUAAAGUCGGUAAGCUCAGAUUAACAAAUUCAUCCAGCCCUAUACUCCGACAAUGACACUAACAUGUGUCCUCAGGAUGAACACUGUCUUUAUGGCAUUGUCUAAAAAACAUUCAGGAUAUCUCUAAUCCCAGUGUCAUAAAUCAAUCUUUCAUUAAGGCUCUAAAAUCCAUCAAUUUAAUUAAAUUCUUUAAAACUGAUGUGACAUUUCAGGAUAUUGUAUUUUUCAAGUUUAUAAGUCAACAAUGUCAACUCUCUCUUUACAACACCCAGAGAAGCCUCCAAAGUCCUAAUGUCAAACAAUAAACAAGAUAAUGCAUGAUUAUA
This is a non-coding RNA of Ictidomys tridecemlineatus (thirteen-lined ground squirrel), 1593 nucleotides long. The record is from RefSeq and is a predicted model, not a curated record. Lineage: Eukaryota; Metazoa; Chordata; Mammalia; Rodentia; Sciuridae.